AGAGCGAACGCUGGCGGCAUGCUUAACACAUGCAAGUCGCACGGGCAGGGGCAACCCUGUCAGUGGCGGACGGGUGAGUAACGCGUAGGUAUCUAUCCUUGGGUGGGGGACAACUGUGGGAAACUGCAGCUAAUACCGCAUGAUAACUGAGGUUUAAAGGCGCAAGUCGCCUGGGGAGGAGCCUGCGUACGAUUAGCUUGUUGGUGGGGUAAAGGCCUACCAAGGCGACGAUCGUUAGCUGGUCUGAGAGGAUGAUCAGCCACAUUGGGACUGAGACACGGCCCAAACUCCUACGGGAGGCAGCAGUGGGGAAUAUUGGACAAUGGGCGCAAGCCUGAUCCAGCAAUGCCGCGUGUGUGAAGAAGGUCUUCGGAUUGUAAAGCACUUUCGACGGGGACGAUGAUGACGGUACCCGUAGAAGAGCCCCGGCUAACUUCGUGCCAGCAGCCGC
This 451-nucleotide ribosomal RNA is filed under the name uncultured bacterium. Its description in RNAcentral is "SSU rRNA". It matches the Rfam family "Bacterial small subunit ribosomal RNA", at positions 26 to 518 of the family's 1533-position model. The record is from RNAcentral.